RNAcentral lists this ribosomal RNA (500 nucleotides) under uncultured bacterium. RNAcentral's name for it is "partial 16S ribosomal RNA". It matches the Rfam family "Bacterial small subunit ribosomal RNA", at positions 30 to 523 of the family's 1533-position model. The record is from RNAcentral.
AUUGAACGCUGGCGGCAGGCUUAACACAUGCAAGUCGAGCGGAGAGAGGUAGCUUGCUACUGAUCUUAGCGGCGGACGGGUGAGUAAUGCUUAGGAAUCUGCCUAUUAGUGGGGGACAACAUUUCGAAAGAAGUGCUAAUACCGCAUACGUCCUGAGGGAGAAAGCGGGGGAUCUUCGGACCUCGCGCGAUUGGAGUGGCCGAUGUCAGAUUAGCUAGUUGGUGGGGUAAAGGCCUACCAAGGCAACGAUCUGUAGCUGGUCUGAGAGGAUGAUCAGCCACACUGGGACUGAGACACGGCCCAGACUCCUACGGGAGGCAGCAGUGGGGAAUUUUGGACAAUGGGGGCAACCCUGAUCCAGCCAUUCCGCGUGAGUGAAGAAGGCCUUCGGGUUGUAAAGCUCUUUCGGCAGGAACGAAACGGCGAGCUCUAACAUAGCUUGCUAAUGACGGUACCUGAAGAAGAAGCACCGGCUAACUACGUGCCAGCCGCCGCCGUAA